Cymbomonas tetramitiformis is the source of this 82-nucleotide non-coding RNA. The record is from the annotation of a GenBank genome assembly. Lineage: Eukaryota; Viridiplantae; Chlorophyta; Pyramimonadophyceae; Pyramimonadales; Pyramimonadaceae.
GACAAUAUGUCCGAGUGGUUAAGGAGUUAGACUUGAAAUCUAAUGGGUACAACCCGCGUAGGUUCAAUUCCUACUGUUGUCG